RNAcentral lists this ribosomal RNA (247 nucleotides) under uncultured bacterium. Its description in RNAcentral is "partial 16S ribosomal RNA". It matches the Rfam family "Bacterial small subunit ribosomal RNA", at positions 57 to 305 of the family's 1533-position model. The record is from RNAcentral.
GCAAGUCGAACGGUAGCAGAAAGUGCUUGCACUUUGCUGACGAGUGGCGGACGGGUGAGUAAUACUUGGGAAUGUGCCUUUGCGUGGGGGAUAACCAUUGGAAACGAGGGCUAAUACCGCAUGAUGUCUACGGACCAAAGGGGGGACUUGUUCCUCCCGCGCAAAGAGCAGCCCGAGCGAGAUUAGCUAGUUGGUGUGGUAAAGGCGCACCAAGGCGACGAUCUCUAGCUGUUCUGAGAGGAAGAUC